Molecule: non-coding RNA, 2629 nt
Organism: Peromyscus maniculatus bairdii (prairie deer mouse)
Lineage: Eukaryota; Metazoa; Chordata; Mammalia; Rodentia; Cricetidae
Source: RefSeq, a predicted model, not a curated record
UGUUUCUGUGAUAGAUAAUAACCUUUAUUUUACUUACAUUUUUAGAGGUAGUAGGCAUUGAACUUCGGGCCUGCACAGUGUUGGUGAACGACCUACUACCCAGUUUCCCCAUCCGUCACUGCAGGAAGCGUCAAGGCUAACAGAGCACGUGACCUUGUUUGUAUUAAGUGGACGUCAGGAGUAGCUGACAAUCAGAUAUCAUUUGGAAUUUAUUUUAAAAUUUCAUGAUUUUAAAAGGCUUUGCUUUAUAUUUAGGGCAAAUUUAUGUUGGUUUAUGUAACAGAAUAAUUAAUAUUUGUGUUGAAAUUGAGAUAUUUUAUGUACUGCUAUGUUGUUUUAGUUUUUAUAUGAUACUUUGAAUAAAAUAUUUGUAAUAAAAUGGAGAUUAUUAGCCAGGCAGUGGUGGCACACACCUUUAGUCCCAGCACUUGGGAGGCAGAGGCAGGCAGAUCUCUGAGUUUGAGGCCAGCCUGGGCUACAGAGUGAGUUCCAGGACAACCAGGGCUUUACAGAGAAAACCUAUUUCAAAAAAAAAAAAAAUGGAGAUUAUUGUUGUGACUGAAUUAUUUGUGUGGAUGCUGCUCUUUGCUGUGUUAAGACUAAUUAGCAUUAGGGUAGUCUUAGACAAGCUUGCAAUGUAACUUAUAGAAUGUGUUUCUUUUCUUGCAUGGUGAUGCUUAGUAUCUUCUGAUAUUUCCUUGUGUUGACUCUGUCAACUGCAAUUGCACUUUAUAGUAAGUUUAGGGCUCAUGACAUAAACUGUAUUGUAGAUGAAGUCUCACCUAGUAUAACAUUUUUAUAGUUAAAUCCCUUUAAAUGAGACUUCAACAUCCCUGUGCUAGUCGGACAAUGGAACUGUUCCUGAUAUUAUCAAUAACCCCGACAUACUCAUUUGACAGUAUGUCCUGUUGUCCUCCUCCUGCUGGAAGUUGGUCUGGAUGUUGUAGAAACGAAUCAGUAAACAAGACAGCGCCUCUCUCCCUCAGUUUCUUCCUCCUCCCGGGACUUCUCCUGGCUCUGCCCCGUGCCCACCCCUGCCCUCAGCAGAGCUCCUUGAUAGUUCACGCCCUUCCUCACACCACUCCCCCACUGGUCCUUUCAAACUCCUCCAGCUCCCUUCUUCUCAGGACUUCAGCAAAGUGGACGUCAAGUUCCCCGGUGGCUUCCACGUGAAGCAUGCAGGGGCCAGGCCCCAGUCCUCGUCUGGGCCCCACGAGCAGCUGUGACAAUGUGCUGGGCGCUGCUGCUUCUUGAAGGGCUUCCUUCCUUUGGUGUCCAGAGUGCUGGCUGCACUUCCUGGACUUUCCUCCUAACUGUUGCUGGUUAACAACAGUUAACUGUUGCUAGUUCACAACAGUUAACGGUUGCUCUUUAACAUUGGGCUGCCCCGACUACAGUUCCUGGAGCUUAACUCUCUGCUUGACCAGUUGUCAUAACUUAGCCUGUAAGGAUUCAUACUGAAUCCUUAAGUUUUGGCUUAGGUGUCAGCUUUUCCGUGAGAUCUUCUGCAUCUCAAAUGAAGUGGUCCUCUUCUUCCUCUCCCUGCAUCGUCCUGCUCCACAGAAAGCUGUCCUCGAACCCUGUCACUUACUCUCCCCUGUCUGCCUGCUCUCUGGAAUGGGAGACCCUCCUGCAAGGGUUUUUGUCUGAUUUGCUAACUGCUAUACUCGCUGCAGCAUCUGGGAUCGUUAUGAAUGAAUAGGAGACGGAAUGAAAUUAGAGCCACGCUUUACGUUCUUCCUGUGAGAAGCGUUCUGAGCAAAAGGAACAGCAAGUCAGAGGCUGUGAGAGAGUGCAGCCGGGGUGGGGUUGGCCCAGGAGCUGGUGGGAAGGGUGCUAGAGUGGUUGCUCCUGGGAGGCCUUCUGGCUCCAAAGUCCCCAGGAAGGAAGUUAGAUUCUUCACACAUCUUUGGGUACUAGAAAGAGGCCCGAGUUGAUAUCUUUAAAUAAUUGAUGCUAAAGCUAGGCCUGGCGGCACAGACUUAAACCUUAGCUCCUCACACGGCAGAGGCAAAGGAUCUCAGGUUCAUGGCCAGCCUGGGCAGCUUAGUGAAUUGGAUGUGGAGGUUUACGUCUAUAAUCCUAACACUCUGGAAGUAGAGGCAGGAGUAUCUGGAAGCCAAGGCCAGCCAGGCUACAUGAGGUCCUAUAUUUAAAAAGACAAGCACUCAACCUUGUACAGAAGUAGGUUGUCAAGCUUAUUUUAGUGUUCAGCUUUUCAUUUUUGCUGCCCCCGCCCCCACAAAAGACCCAUUUAGUUAGAUAGCCAUAGUUAUUUCAUAGGUUUCUGUGCUGAUUGGAUUUACUGCCUGUUACACUGAGUGAAUGCUUCUCAGGAAGGCUGUGACCAUAUCAUCUCUUUUGUUCUGGGCUUUACCCCAGCAGCAGUGUUUAUGGUGAGUCUGUGGUGUCCGUGGCUGGCAAACACUGUGACAUAGCUCACUGGGACGGGAGAUCCACAUCCUGCCACCCAUCCAGCAGAGAGACCCCACUUUCCAUCAAUCUCCGUGGUGAAAAUUCAGAGAGUGAGGGUGUGAGGCAGGGGAGAAUUGAGUGAGGAGGCAUCAUCUCUAUGAUGAAAGAGAGUCUGUCAGACAAGGAGCUGUGCGUCCAGGGCGGUUACUGAGAG